GUGCCAGCAGCCGCGGUAACACGUAGGACACAAGCGUUAUCCGGAAUUACUGGGCGUAAAGCGCCAGCAGGCGGUCGUGUAAGUCAUUGAUGAAAACGCUCGGCUCAACCGAGCGCUGUUCAGUGAUACUGCAUAACUAGAGGGAGAUAGAGGCGAGUGGAAUUCCGCGUGUAGUGGUGAAAUGCGUAGAGAUGCGGAGGAACACCAGUGGCGAAGGCGGCUCGCUGGGUCUCACCUGACGCUGAGAGGCGAAAGCAUGGGGAGCGAACGGGAUUAGAAACCCCUGUAGUCC
This 292-nucleotide ribosomal RNA is filed under the name uncultured bacterium. Its description in RNAcentral is "partial 16S ribosomal RNA". It matches the Rfam family "Bacterial small subunit ribosomal RNA", at positions 505 to 796 of the family's 1533-position model. The record is from RNAcentral.